Molecule: long non-coding RNA, 913 nt
Organism: Strigops habroptila (Kakapo)
Lineage: Eukaryota; Metazoa; Chordata; Aves; Psittaciformes; Psittacidae
Exons: 2
Source: RefSeq, a predicted model, not a curated record
CCCACUCUUUUAUUCUUUUUUUUUUUAGCCUUAAUAUUACAGUUAUGACCAUCACAUGGUAUAGCACAGAUCUCUGCAAUUAUAUACAUAAAGUUUGAAAGCCUCUAAUUUGGUAGCAGUGAGGGAUGGCUGUGCUUUAAAUGACAUCAUGAAAUAUAAAGGCUGAUGCAACAGCAGCUAGUGCUAAUGGGAGUGGACUAAAUGCUUUCAACCUCCCUUUUUCUUCCAGUGAAUGCAUAGUUAAAUAGCUAACGUGCCCAUUACUGUCACUAGGACGCUUGUUUUCAUCAAAGGUUGCAGCAUAGGUUAGUUUCAGCUCACACAGAAGACAGGAGAAUCUUCUUGGCAAUUCACAUUACAAAAAGCAUCUUAAUACACUGGAGAAUCUUUGGUUCAAAAUUCACUGCCAGCUGUGUUCUUACUAACUCUUACUGAAGUUAAUGUGUAUCACAGCAUAGUGACCUUACAAAAUAAACUACUUUUAUUUUUUUUCCUAGGUUGAAGGCCUUCAUGUCUUUUUCUCUUUUCUCCCCCUCUCCGCCUCGUAAACCUUUGCAAGCUGUUCUACUCAGCAUAUUUUACUCCUUAAACUCUGAGCUAUACAGCUGUCACUGGAGCCAGGCAAACAAGCGGAGCUGCAGAUGCAUGUGGUUAGCUGACUAGAAGGAUAUUUGAAACUGCUCAAGUCCCGAUGUAGCUACUAGCAUCACCAUGCAACUCAGGACUAUCAGAGAGAAAAGGAUGUCUAAGAGAGUCUUUGGGAGACUUCAGAACCAGCAUUAGAUGGCUGUGGCAAAUGCUGUGAGGAUUCAGGCUGGCAAAAAACUUCAUAACAACGUUCUUUUUUUUCUCUGUGAAAUUUUUCAGUCUCAAAAUAAAGAGGAAUGCAGACUUGUGUGUGACCUUGAAAACA